AACGAACGCUGGCGGCAUGCCUAACACAUGCAAGUCGAACGAGACCUUCGGGUCUAGUGGCGCACGGGUGCGUAACGCGUGGGAACCUGCCCUUAGGUUCGGAAUAACUCCCCGAAAGGGGUGCUAAUACCGGAUAAUGUCUUCGGACCAAAGAUUUAUCGCCUUUGGAUGGGCCCGCGUUGGAUUAGCUAGUUGGUAGGGUAAAAGCCUACCAAGGCGACGAUCCAUAGCUGGUCUGAGAGGAUGAUCAGCCACACUGGGACUGAGACACGGCCCAGACUCCUGGGGGAGGAAGCGGGGGGAAAUAUUGAAAAGGGGGCGAAGGCCUGACCCAGCAUGGCCGGGGGAGGAAGGAGGCCUUGAGGGUUGAAAAGUUUUUUUCCCGGGGAGAAAAAUGACAGUCGGGGAAAAAAAAGCCCGGCCAACCCCCGUC
RNAcentral lists this ribosomal RNA (433 nucleotides) under uncultured bacterium. Its description in RNAcentral is "partial 16S ribosomal RNA". It matches the Rfam family "Bacterial small subunit ribosomal RNA", at positions 29 to 507 of the family's 1533-position model. The record is from RNAcentral.